AGUGAACGCUGGCGGUAUGCCUAACACAUGCAAGUCGAACGGCAGCACAGUAAGAGCUUUCUCUUACGGGUGGCGAGUGGCGGACGGGUGAGGAAUACAUCGGAAUCUACUUUUUCGUGGGGGAUAACGGAGGGAAACUUAUGCUAAUAGCGCAUACGUUCUACGGGUGAAAGCAGGGGAUCUUGGGACCUUUGGUGAUUGAUUGAGCCGAUUUCGGAUUGGCUAGUUGGGAGGGUAAAGGCCCACCAAGGCAACGAUACGUAGCUGGCCUGAGAGGAUGAUCAGCCACACUGGAACUGAGACACGGUCCAGACUCCUACGGGAGGCAGCAGUAGGGAAUAUUGCACAAUGGGCGAAAGCCUGACCCAGCAAUGCCGCGUGAGUGAAGAAGGCCUUCGGGUUGUAAAACCCUUUUAUUAGGGAAGAACAGCAGCAGAUGAAUCCCCCGAUGUUCUGACGGUACCCAAAGAAAAAGCAACGGCUAACUUCGUG
RNAcentral lists this ribosomal RNA (492 nucleotides) under uncultured bacterium. Its description in RNAcentral is "partial 16S ribosomal RNA". It matches the Rfam family "Bacterial small subunit ribosomal RNA", at positions 29 to 507 of the family's 1533-position model. The record is from RNAcentral.